CGGAGAGCAGAUUUUGUAUUUGAAAAUCGGAGUAACUCCGCCAAAAUCAGAGUGGUUGGCAUUUCUGUAUGUUUUACAUGCAUAUCU
This is a long non-coding RNA of Haliotis rubra (blacklip abalone), 87 nucleotides long. RefSeq lists it as uncharacterized. Lineage: Eukaryota; Metazoa; Mollusca; Gastropoda; Lepetellida; Haliotidae. The transcript has 3 exons. The record is from RefSeq and is a predicted model, not a curated record.